Molecule: non-coding RNA, 100 nt
Organism: Otolemur garnettii (small-eared galago)
Lineage: Eukaryota; Metazoa; Chordata; Mammalia; Primates; Galagidae
Source: Rfam
GAAAACCAUAACUUACACUAAAACUGCAACACUACACCGAAGAUUAGCAUGGCCCCUGCUCAAGGAUGACACACAAAUUUGUGAAGCAUUCCAUAUUUUU